UUGUCAUUUGUUUGCAGCCUUGUUCCCAGCUACUGAUCCCAAGACUGACCACCUUUUCUGUCCUUGUUUGAAGCCGGUGCCCGGAGCUGUGCCAGUGACCCCGUGCAAAGUCGCGCCCCAGGCCGGGCGCCUGAGGUCCCCUCCGCGGGCCAGCGUCUACCUGGUAGGACCGGCGGCGCUGCAGGGCCGCGCACAGUUCUCCCGGCCUCGGGGGUCUGCGGGUCCCACCGCUGUUCCCACUGUGCGUGCGCUUUACCCUCGGACGACCCGGGAACCGGGAGCCCAGCCCCGAGCUGGAAGGCCUUUCCCGGGAGCCCCUCUGCCAGGGCGGAGUGGGGGCACGGCCCGCGGCCUCCCAGUUCCAGGACCGAAGGGGAGACCCCAAACUCCACCACCCCGAGUCCGCCACCCCUCCAGGGACUGCCUUCUGUGCAGAAGGCUUGGGUUGGUCCUGAGCCUCGCAGAGACCUUCCUGUCGUUUAGAGGUUACUGUUUGAGAAGGAUGAAAGCGCUUCCUGCGGAGGGAGGGAGGGUCGGGCUGCAGAGGCCACCUCCCUGGUGUCUAAGGGAUUCCUCUCGCCACAUAAAACCAGAUCACAAAAAAUUCUCGUGUCUGCUCUAGAAUUGUCUCAUUUCUCGGGAUGGGGGCAGCCAGACAAGUGCUGACGCAGGCUACUUUCUUCAUCAAACAGCCCCCAUCGGGCUUUCUAGAGUCUUGGCCAUGUCUGGUUUUAUUCUCGACUUUGUUAAGGAGUGAACUUCUGGCCAGGGGCUCCAGGCCAGAACGAGUCACGGGUGCCAGGGGCCAGGCGCUCAAACUGCGCUCUGAGCUCUCUAUCCAAUCAGGUCUCACAAGAGGAGACUGACCGAGGUGGAUCUGGAGGGUCCAGUUUACCUGCCCCUCAGGAAGUCCCUACCCCCUUUGGAGCGUCCAAUCCAGGCUCUCCUCCUUUCUUCACCUUUUCUGUCUGUGAAACAGCCUCCCCAGCUCAGUUGCUUGAUUCUAGAAUUAAAAAAUAAAAGCCAUUUAGAUCCACAAAUUCAUUGUAAUUUUGACUUCUGACAAACUGAAAAUGGAAUGGAAAAUGAGACCCUCAAAUUCUAAGUCCUGGGUGCCUGAAGGGGUUCUCCUGGGCUCACUGUUUAAAAAAGCUACCUGACAUGUCCACAGGUGGUUCCCAAAUCUGGCCUUAUCAGUUGGAGACGUGCCCCAAUGUCUAGGACAUGAAUUUAUAUUUGAAAGCGGUGAGGGUCCUGAUGUCUGUUUUCUGCUAAACUGGCAAAUACGUGUUUUACCACAAGCAGGAAAUCCCUGUGUGGCAAUCAGUUUAGAGUAUGACAAUUCAAGACUCCCCAGGUCAAAGGAGAUACAAUUAGAAAAUGACUUUUUAGGGAAAGGUGUCUUGCUCUUUCCUCCCAAUGUCCUCAAACCCGUUGGCCCCUCUUUUCUCCCUUAAAGCUUCCUUGUUGCCACCCCAAGGUCCCCUAUAGUAACCUCGAGUAACUCUAGCUACCAACGAGAAAAGAACAGUCUGCCUGUCUUCAGAUGGUCCCCUUUAAUUUUAAACCCAUUAUUUAGGGACAGAGACAGUUGAAGGUGUGGUGGAACUUUGUGGGUGUCAGUUGCUAUUGAAAGUAACUCUUCUCUGAACAGAUGAGCUGCAGGUUACCCAGACAUUACACUCCAGGGCUUAGUAAGAGGACUUCAGUGUUUUAAAUCAUCCACUGAUGUAUCAUUUGUCAUUAAAAAUAUCAGUCUGAUAUAUUUGGUCUCUUUGAAUGUAAGAUUAUAGGGUUGCAGAAUGAACUGACCAGAUGCGGAAUCUUGAAGAACAUGAGUGACCAUGAAGAGUUUUGGAAGCUGGUUCAAGAGGAAGGUCGCGGAACAGAAAUCAAAGAAAAGCUCCAAAAGAUAAAAUUUAAAAGUUUGUAUAUUUCCUGUUUUUUAUUGUGGAUUUUUAUAAUUGCCUUAACAUUUU
This 1979-nucleotide long non-coding RNA is filed under the name Marmota monax (woodchuck). The record is from RNAcentral. Lineage: Eukaryota; Metazoa; Chordata; Mammalia; Rodentia; Sciuridae.